ACAGUUGGGGGCGUCAGUAUUCUGAAGCGAGAGGUGAAAUUCUUGGACCUUCGGAAGACUAACAACUGCGAAAGCAUUCGCCUAGGAUGUUCUCUUUAAUCAAGAACGAAAGUUGGGGGAUCGAAGACGAUCAGAUACCGUCGUAGUCUCAACUAUAAACUAUGCCAGCUAGGGAUUGGUGGACGUUUAUCUACGACUCCAUCAGCACCUUAUGAGAAAUCAAAGCAUUUGGGUUCCGGGGGGAGUAUGGUCGCAAGGCUGAAACUUAAAGGGAUUGACGGGAGGGCACCACCAGGAGUGGAGCCUGUGGCUUAAUUUGACUCAACACGGGAAAACUUACCAGGUCCGGACAUAGUAAGGAUUGACAGAUUGAUAGCUCUU
RNAcentral lists this ribosomal RNA (381 nucleotides) under uncultured marine eukaryote. RNAcentral's name for it is "SSU rRNA". It matches the Rfam family "Eukaryotic small subunit ribosomal RNA", at positions 878 to 1259 of the family's 1831-position model. The record is from RNAcentral.